UGUACACACAAUGCAGCAAACCAGCGAACUGUUGUUGUCCCCCGAGGGGCCUCACCCGGAGGUGGGGCCGCCGAUGGCGUGGCUCGGUCGAGAGGCCGGCCCGUGGGCGUAGCGGAUCCUCGCCAUCGGCCGGAGUGUCUCAUUGUCGUGGUUUCGGUCGUCUGGUGUUGGUUUCCCCUUAGUGUGGGAGUUAGCCUCUAGCGAUCGGGGUCGGGCACUCCCCUCCCCCUUUUUCCCCGUCUUUGGGGUCUUUGGGGCCGCUUUUUUCAUAAGCACUUUGAGGAACAUGAAUUCUGAGACUGAGCCUGGGGCCCUUUGUGUCACCGUUGUGGGUGGCACAGCCCCGAGUCAAAAACCAAAAUAAUGACUCUCAGCAACGGAUAUCUUGGCUCUUGCAACGAUGAAGAACGCAGCGAAAUGCGAUACCUAGUGUGAAUUGCAGAAUUCCGCGAAUCAUCGAGUCUUUGAACGCAAGUUGCGCCCGAGGCUUGUCCCGAGGGCAUGCCUGCCUGAGCGUCACCGCACUCCCACCUGGACACUCUCCAGUGUGGAAUUGGCCGUCCGGGGCCCAGCGUAAAAGCUUUGGGUCGUGGUGGGCUGAAAUUUAGCUAUCUGUGCGUAGCCGAAGAGAGAGGCCGCGAGAAGGUGAUUCGCUCUUGGCGGAGCGGAGUCUAAUUGGACAGCGUCUCUCCCUUUGGUGGUCCAGAUGGUGACACUCAAAAGUGUCAUUGGGGAGUGCAAGUAACGUUGCAUGUCCCCUCCCCUACAGCUUGGACCUCAGAUCAGGCAAGAUUACCCGC
RNAcentral lists this ribosomal RNA (800 nucleotides) under Plagiochila arbuscula. Its description in RNAcentral is "eukaryotic LSU rRNA". The stretch from base 366 to 519 matches the Rfam family "5.8S ribosomal RNA". Lineage: Eukaryota; Viridiplantae; Streptophyta; Jungermanniopsida; Jungermanniales; Plagiochilaceae. The record is from RNAcentral.